UUUAUGCCAUUCUUGGGAUUUUCUACAAAGAUGAUCAUGUUAUUUACAAAUAAAUAUUUUAAUCUUUUUCUUUCCCUAUCUGUAUCCAUUUUACUCCCUUUGUCUUACUGCAUUAGCUGGGACUUCUAGUACCAUGUUGAACAAGAGUGGUGAGAGGGGAUAGCCUUGCCUUGUUGCUGAUCUUAGGGGAAAGCAUUUCGUUUCUCACCAUUUGUUGCUGCAAAUGGCAUUAUUUCAUUAUUUUUUAUGGCUGAGUAGUAUUCCAUUGUAUACAUAUACCACAACUUCUUUAUCCAUCAUCUGUUGAUGGACAUUUAGAUUGCUUCCAUGGCUUGGCUAUUGUAAACAGUGCUGCUAUGAACAUUGAGGUGCAUGUAUCUUCUUGAAUUAGAGUUUUCUCCAGAUAUAUGCCCAGGAGUGGGAUUGCUGGAUCAUAAGGUAAGUCUAUUUUUUUGUUUUUCAAGGAGCCUCCAUACUAUUUUCCAUAGUGGCUGCAUCAAACUACAUUCCCACCAACAGUGUAUGAGGGUUCCCCUUUCUCCACACCCUCUCCAGCAUUUAUCGUUUGUGGGCUUUUGAAUGAUGGCCAUUCUGACUGGUAUGAGGUGAUACCUCACGGCAGUUUUGAUUCACAUUUCUCUGAUAAUUAGUGAUAUUGAGCAUUUUUUUCAUGUGCCUAUUGGCCAUCUCUAUGUGUUCAUUGGAGAAAUAAUCUGUUUAGGUCUUCUGUUCAUUUUGGGGGGGGGUUGUUGUUGUUAUUGAUUUAUAUGAGCUAUUUGUGUAGCAUUUUCUCUUACCACCUUUUGAACUUGGAGUCUAGUAGACUGGUGAGCUCUAUUUUGUUAUUCGUUCUUUCAGGGGAUUUCUCUUGCUCUUUCAAUUAGUUCCUCUGCAUUUUCUUUUUGGUUAGCUUUUUCUAUCUCUGUGAAUUUAUGAGAACUAGUUACCUAUUGUGGUCUUGAAGGGGCAUUUUUAUAUGGGAGCAUCCCUGUGUGGACUGUGUGUGUCCAGUGUCUGUUGUGAAGGCUAGUUUGAUGUGGAUGCCAGCCAUGUCUUUCCUCAGGGUCCCAGCUGCUACCACUUUGAUAGGGGACGUGGUUGGUGUUGGUGGAUCUAGAUUCCAUGCAGAGUGUGAGGCAGGACUUCCUCUCCGCUUCCUCUCUGCUGUGGCCACCCUGUCAGGGGUGGCGUCUGCUCCCCAGUUGUUGGAGUAGAAGCCCUGAGAGUCAGCAUGAUCAGGUUCCGUUUCCCUUGAGUGCCCUAAAGGAGGAGAGUGCUGAAGCCAGUGAAGCCUGUGGACUCAGAGGUCCAGCACGCUGCCUGCAUAGGCAUCUGUGGCACUGCUCAGAUGCAGCCCAAGGUCACAUUCCUUCCCCUGUUGUGGUUGUACCAGAUCCAGUGCAAGGCUGUGGUGUGGAGUGGGCAGAGCCAGAGUGUUAGCUAGGCUGGGGCUUGAGGUGUUGUUGCUGCAGGAAUCAAGGUGACCUUGCUGCUUGCAUGGUCUCUGUGGCAGUCUUCUCCCAGGACCUGUCUCCCCCAGAUCCAGCACCAAGCUGUGGUGUGGAGUGAGCAGGACUGGGGUAUUCACCCUGCUCAGACUGGGGAGUGUGGUGAGGCGCAGCUGCAGGUGCAGAGCUCUCUUUGCCCUGAUUGUUGGCAACCAGCACCCACGCACUCUUCGUGAGUAGGAGUCUAGGCUUCUCCAGCCCAGCGGUUCUCCCAGCAGCCCAGGGAGCUUGUCUCCUCUGUAUAGGACCUCAGGACUGGGAUGCCCUGUCUGUGGCUUGACCUGCUUGCUCUCCAGGGCAAGGGUCCACCCAUGCGGACCUUCCUUCCUCCCUUUCAUAUCCCUCCCAGGGUUGGAGGUCCUGACCCUGUGUCUUUUUUCCAUCCUACCUGGUUAUGUGGAAAUCUUUCUUGCAGCUUUGGUUGUAUAGGAGUUUCUCUGCCAGUUUCUAGUCAUUUUCCCAUAAGAAUUGUUCUAGAUGUAGAUGUAUUUUUGAUGUGCUUGUGGGGGGACGUGAGAUCCAUGUCCUCCUAUUUUGCCAUCUUGAUCCAAUUGAAUCCCACAUUUCUGAUAUUUGUAAUUGUCUUUUAGUUUCAAUUGGUUGGCUUAGGUAGAAGUUAUCAGUUUACUCAAAAAUUCAGCUUUUGUUUUUGUUGAUUUUUUCAUGUUGUUUUCCUGCUUUUAAUUUUACUGAUUUCUGCCCUAUUUUUUCUUUCCUUCUGCAAUUACUUUGGACUUACUUUGUUUUUUUUUGUUUCUUAAAGCAAAAGCUUAGAUUUUUUAUUUUAGAGCUUUUGAUGCAUUUAAUCCUACAAGUUUCUCUCUAAAGACUGCUUUUGCAGCAUCCCACAAUUUUGAUAAGUUGCAUUUUCACUUAGUUCAAAGUAUUUCUCUUGAGAUUUCUUCUUUGACCCAUGUGUUGUUUAGAAGUGUGUUGUUUAACCACCAGGUACUUUGGGACUUCCCAGCUAUCGUUCUGUUGAUUUUCUAGAUUAAUUCCAUUGUAGUCUGAGAGCAUACUUAGCGUUUCUAUUCUUUUCAAUUUGUUAAUGUGUGUUUUAUGGCCCAGAAUGUGGCCUAUCUUGGUGACUGUUCCAUGUAAGCAUGAAGAAUGUGUAUUCCGUUGUUAGAUGAAGUACUUGAUAAAUGUCAAUUAGACCUAGUCAUUGAUAGCACUGUUCAGUUCAAGGAUGUCCCUGCUGAUUUUCUGCCCGCUGGGUCUGUCAGUUACUGAUGGGAAGAUGUUGCAGUCUUCACCUGUUAGAGUGGACUUGUCUCUUCCUCCUUACUGUUCUGUUUUUGCCUCAUAUAUUUGAUGCUUGGUUGUCAGGUGCAUACACAUUAGUCAUCUUGAACUGACCUCUUUAAUAUUAUGUAAUGCCUCUCUUUAUACCUGAUAAUGUUCCUUGCUCUAAAGUCUGCUUUGUCUAAAGUUAAUAUAGCUACUCCAGCUUUCUUUUGAUAGCGUUACCAUAUCUUCCUCUAUACCUUUAUUUUUAAUAUGUCUACAAGAAACCCAUUUUAAAGACAACAUAUAGUUGGGUCUUGUAUUUUAAUACACUGACAGUCUUUGUCUUUUAAUUGUUUAGAACAUUGACAUGAGAAGUGAUCACUGAUACCGUUUAGUAUCUACCACGUUUGUUACUCUUUUGUUACCCUUGUUCUCUGUUCCUAUUUCUGUCUUUCACUUUCUCCGUGGGAGGAGAGGAAUGUUAAGUAUGGAAAGAAGGGUAUGUGUGCAUCUUGAGCAUCCAGAGUUGAACUGUUGUGUGCCUGUCUUUCUUAGGUGGCUUCCUAUUUGGGGGAAAUUCUCUAUUGAGUGCAUCUUUGUGGGGAUUAAUGCAGUUUCCCACUGUAGAAGCUAAAAUGAGCCAUCCUCCUUCCCAUCACUCUUGGUCAUCUGCAAUGUGGGACGACGACCUGGGCUUGGCCAAAUGGGCAUUCCCAGGCAGGCCUUUGAGUCUCGAUGAAAUGACAAAGCAAUUAAACUUUAAUCACAGCAGUGGGCUAGUGACAUUGUCUUGAAGAAACUUAGAAAUCUUUAAGAAAAGCAGAUUCUUGUAAAAAUCCUUGUUGACUUGUACCUGAGUCCAAAUGCUACCCAUUGUGAUGUCAAGCAAAUGUCUUUGUGUAACUGUCUCACAGAUGGUAACAAUUUAUGAGAAGAACCAGCGAAACCUCGAGCUGAACCCUAGUACUAGCUGUGCUGCGUGGGGCAAAUCCCUUCACCUCUCUGAGCUUCUGUCUUCAUUCAGCUCACAGAUGCUGGGAUAAAAUUAGGGAAUGUUUAAUUCUUGUCAUCUACUGGAGACCACCGUGAGACCCGAGGCAGUGGGAAUUCUACUGGCUGGAGUCAUCAUCUUGUCCUGACGACGCAAGAGUGCACAGAAAGCUCCAAGGAGACUGAGAAGAAAUGCUGGCUUUCCUCAGAAUGAAGUUUACUCUUAAAUACUUCCAGCCACACACCAACCAUCCACCAAGCAGAAAGAAGUGGUCCACAGAGCAAACAAUUUGAGAGACACAAGCUCCAGCACAGAAAACCAGUGGCAUCAAACUGUGUGCUGUGGAAGACAGAUGCCCACAUGAACAUUAGCAUCUGAUGAGAAGUACUAAGUGGCAAGACACACUGCAUCUGAUGUGUACUAAUACUAGUAAGUUGUGAACAUUUAUCCUUUAAGCUGCUAGUGGAACCAAACCUACAUGUCAAUUAUCAAAAUUUUAACACCAGUCUAGGAAAAUAGAGAGAGAACAAUCAUUAAAACAGUAUCAACCCGUCUCUGAAGGAAUAUUCACAUACUGGAGUGAGGAAAAGGGAGCAGAAAUAAUCAUUUAAAAAACUAGUGAUAAUACAAAAUUCCUCCAGAAAGCAGGAGGGAGAGAGGAAUCUGUAGCAAAUUCAAACCUAGUCUUACUCUGUAACUGUUCCAUGGGUCUAGCUGCCAUUUUGUUCCAACUACUCAAAACGGCUUCAAAAAUGAACUAAGUUACUUCACCUCCAUGAGGCUGCUAUGAUAUUUCUACCUUAUAAAAUGGGACUAACCCCAGAAAGCAACACACCUGCAAACUGUUUGUGGAUCAAACUAUCACAACCCCAUAAUGAAAUACAUUAUUGGGACAUUUUAAUGUCAACAGGGCUGUUUUCCUUAAAGGAGGGCAAACACAAGCACACAUGCAACCAUUUCAAUUAUCUGACACUUAUCAACACUACGGGUAAAUGAAAUUAAAAGGUCUCACAAGAAAAGGGGUCAACUAUUCCCUGAUGACACACUAAAGUUCAUGAAGACUCAAUCACAAAUUAAAAACAAUUAAAAAAAAAACUCAAGAGACGAAAGUCGUAUUACUAAUUUAAAAUAAAACUCUUGGAACAUAAGACAGAACCACUGUUACUUGUAGUUAAUGAAAUAAAUGUGUACACUCAGCAGACAACACUACCUGAUUCCACACCAAAGCUACAAACAAAGCCAGUUUGUACUUACCUCUAAAACGACACUACGAGUGGGGUGUCAGGUGUUAAAGCCUCUUAGAGGUUAUGCCUCUGGGACCAUCUUGGCUGUUUCCAUGUCCCUCAUAACCACCCCACAGUCCCUGGGCUGCAGCAAGUUUCUUUCUCCUUUUUCUUUUUGGUUAAUGAUGUCACUCCCCAUGCUAUUUCUUGGGGAUGCCCUUCCCCUGAAAUCAGUAAUUUAAUUCACUUAAUAUUUUAACGAAUUUUUCCAAUUCUUUAAACAUUAAUGGAUCAAUAGCUUCAUUUCAUCCACAUGAAAUAACUUUUCUCAAAGUCAGUGCUUCUGGUCUGUGGUUCCUGACCCCCUUGCCCAAGCCUCCUGCUCGCCCCUUUCCCUGGUGAAGGCUGAAUUCAGACCGCCAUCCUCCAGUUUUCCCCUCUCUCUAGGUCUUGGUCUCUGUUCAUGAAGGCCCCCAUCUGGCAUCCAGGCACAGGACAUGGUGGGGGGCCUGCAGAGGGAUAGCAAGCGUCCUUUAAGUGUUUCUUCAGGUAUCAUGUGCAGUCCCGGGACCUCUAGACUUUCAUCUCAACACACAGGAAAGGUCACGGUGGGCAUUUCCUCAAAAUACGAGUGUGCAAAUCCAGAGCACAAUCCGAUCCCUCACCUUCAGGAUACUCCAAGACCAGACAGGCCUACCAACGAUAACAGGACAAAGAUGGUUUACUCGCACAAAUCCUGCCCCGUUCAGUCAUUACAAAGACGAUACCACCUUUCAGCUCCUCAGAGAGUAGCCCAAGGAAGGGACUCACUAGCAGUUUCUGUCUAGGGCCAACGUCAUAAAAAAAUACCACCUGCCUCACUUUUGGUAGUAACUUGUCAGCUUGCCGGAAGCCUCUGCAAGGAGACCAACGACUGAACACACCGUGGAACCUGAACUACCUUCUCACCGUUGGCAGCAAGGCCCCAAAGUACAGGACUGAAUCAUCUGGGAGGAAACAGCAUGGAGGAGUUCUGACCGAUGCUGCCCAUGCUGUAUCUGGUGUCUGGAUAAGGAAGAUCUUCAACUUUCAGAGUUGUGAAUAACUCAUUCUGUAACCUUGGCCCAGUCAUUUAAUCCCCUGUGCCUCAGUUUCCCCAUCAGUACAAACUAGAGAUAACACUUGUUUGUAAAGUGCUUUGAUAUACUUAGUUGAAGAAUAAAUCAUACAAAUGCAUGCUGUUAACAUUUUCUAAAAUUAAAAAAAAUUUUCAGUGUUGGCUUACAAAUUUAUAAAUGCCAGCCCCAACAGUAUUCUCUCAGAUGCUUGGAGCACCUUUCUUCUGAGAAGCUCAAAAUACAAUUUUCUGUUUAGGUUACUUGGAAGUAUCCAAAGACACUAAGAAACCAAAACACAUUUUAUCUACUCUACAUUCUUGCCUACCGUUUAAGAAGAGCAAAAUACUUCAAGUGGCCCUUUUAUUCCUAUGAUACCUCAACAAGGAAGGGAAGAGCAAGCUAUGAAACUGAGGAAUAGAGAUUUAAAACGACUUGGCCAACUAAUUACAGAUGAUGUUUAUUCUUUGUGUGUGUGUAUACAUAUAUAUAUAUAUGUUUUUUAAACUGAAAUAUAGUAGAUGAUGUUUAUUCUUAUCACAGACUGACUGGGAAACCAGGAACAUGAGGGGGUGUGGAAGUCUCAAGCCAGGACAGUUUAAGCUAGUAAUAUUUGGUCAAACUGCAGUAUGGCAUGUAUGGUCUCCUGGCACUGACUUUUCAAAAUGACAGAAAUUUUAAAAAUUACCAAUGGCUUAAGAAAAAAGUAACAUACUAAACAUAUGUAUUUUUGGAAGUAGGCUGACUCCAAUAGGAGACUUCAGUAAAAAAAAAAACCAACUUGGUCACAUUCGUAAUAGUAGUACUAAUAAAACAAUGACAGAAUGCUACUUAAUCAAUCCAUAGUCCUCUUUCUCAUGAUUUCCUACUUGUUUAAGAAAAAGCUCUUGGUUAAAACACCCGAGGCCAUCUUCACCUGUUAAAUUAGCAAAGAUUCAAAACAAUAUGGAUGCUCAGUGCUGGUGAGGCUGCCGUGACGGGCAGGCCCGGACACUGCUGAUACAAGGGUAACUGGCGCAGCUUUUCCGCACAGUUAUUUGGCUACAUGCAUUGAGAGCUCCGAAAAUGUUCAUUCCUGCCAUGACACAUGAAUUUUACUUCACAGAACCUGUCCCAAGGAAUAAUAAAAAUGCAAACAAAGUUUUAUGUGCAUGGUAUCCAUCACAGGAUUAUACAGAACAGCAAGAAUUUAGAGACAACCUAGGAGGAAUGGCUGGGUAAAUCAGGAUACAGCCAUACAAUGGCUGUAUUUUAUGCAGCCAUUAAAUGUGAUUUAUGAGAAAGAUUCUACUGUAAUAGAAAAAAUACAUGAUAAAAAUUAAGUAGAAAAAGUGGGACAUAAAAUUGCACAUAAGACCUUGUCUGUGUUAAAAAGAUUCUUAAUGAUACUCCUUUUCUACUUUAUGCUUUUGGUAUUGCCUAAAUUUAUCUACAAUGAACCUGUAUUUAUUUUCUAAUUAGUCAAAAAGUUUUUUUUUUCUUUUAAGUUCUUGAACCUGUUAUGCUUGGUUGGCUAAAUGGAUAAGGCUUAAAAGCUUCAAGAUAACUUCCUCAUGUAUAAUUUCAGACAUUCUAAUUAAAAAGUCGUAAUAUUGAAAACUAUGACAAAGGGUAGCUGAGAGUUCAGAAAAAUAGGAACCCUUAAACAUGGCAGGUGAAAACAUAAAUAAAUAUUAUUUGUUUAGAGAGCAAUGGAAACCAAAAGGUAGUGACAGUUAAAAACAUGCACAGGUGACCCUCCAUGCGGAAACAACUAUGGGACUCGGGCAUCCGUAGAUCUGGGUAUUAGCAGCGGGUCCUGGAACCAAGCCUGCAUAUAUUCUGAGGGACGGCUGUAUACACUUUGACUCCAGAGGUCCAUUUCCAGGAAUCUGACCUAAGAUUUACAUAAAGGAUACUCGUCACAGUGUUAUAGAUGCAUAAAACAGUGGAAAACCAGACAACUGAAAUGUCUUGCAACAUGGUUUUACUUAUGCACAUUAAAUAAUAUUUACAUGUGUGAACACUAUGUAGCUGUUAAGAGAUAGGUUGUAGGAGAACACACAAGACGAAAAAAAGGAUCAGGCUGUUAGGUGGAAAAAGGUUACAAAAUAGAAUGUACAAUAUGAAUCCAAGUUUGUAAAAAAGGUGGCGGAAGGCUAAAGAACUGCAUGCACAUGUGUGUGAAAAGAGGCAAAGUUUCAAAGUGCAAACAGUGCCAUCUUUAAUUUUUUUGUCCUUUGUAUUUUAAAAAGUACAAUAAAUAUGUAAAAUUUUUAUAAUCAGGAAUAAAUAUGUGCUAUUUUGAAACAUACAAAUUAAG
Camelus dromedarius (Arabian camel) is the source of this 8348-nucleotide long non-coding RNA. RefSeq lists it as uncharacterized. The transcript is spliced from 4 exons. NCBI's taxonomy places the organism in Eukaryota, Metazoa, Chordata, Mammalia, Artiodactyla, Camelidae. The record is from RefSeq and is a predicted model, not a curated record.